UACGGAGGGUGCGAGCGUUGUCCGGAUUUAUUGGGUUUAAAGGGUGCGUAGGUGGCUUUAUAAGUCAGUGGUGAAAUACAGCCGCUCAACGGUUGAGGUGCCAUUGAUACUGCAGAGCUUGAAACAAGUGGAGGCUGCCGGAAUGGAUGGUGUAGCGGUGAAAUGCAUAGAUAUCAUCCAGAACACCGAUUGCGAAGGCAGGUGGCUACGUUUGAUUUGACACUGAGGCACGAAAGCAUGGGGAGCAAACAGG
This 253-nucleotide ribosomal RNA is filed under the name uncultured bacterium. Its description in RNAcentral is "partial 16S ribosomal RNA". It matches the Rfam family "Bacterial small subunit ribosomal RNA", at positions 524 to 776 of the family's 1533-position model. The record is from RNAcentral.